Non-coding RNA from Ictidomys tridecemlineatus (thirteen-lined ground squirrel), 2529 nucleotides. The record is from RefSeq and is a predicted model, not a curated record. NCBI's taxonomy places the organism in Eukaryota, Metazoa, Chordata, Mammalia, Rodentia, Sciuridae.
CUUCCCAGGGAAGAAGAAAAUUGAAAAAUCUGAAAAGGAAAGUAAAGGAGAAGAUUUUGAAGAUGUACCGGCUCCAAAGACAGUUAAAGAAACUGAAGACGUGUCUUCCCCAAAGAAGCAAAAAAGUCCCAUCAGUUUCUUCCAGUGUGUUUACUUGGAUGGGUACAAUGGCUAUGGAUUUCAGUUUCCUGUCACUCCUGCACAACGCCCUGGAGAGAACCCUGGCAAACCAAAUUCUCCAGGACAGAAGUAACAGGGACAGUAGAAACACAAACAUGACCCUUAUAAGUGCUUUAAAAUUAUAAAAAUGGGAUCUUCUGUUUUGUUCACAGUGACACAGGCAAUGGAAAUCAUGCAAUCCAGUUUUUUUUUUUUAAAUAACAUUUUACACUUCUGCCUGGUAUAGAGACAGGGUAGUCAAAGGGAUUGAAUAAUAAGCAAACAUGUUGAAGGGUCUGGUGAUCAAGAAUAUGUUAUUACUGUUUGUUGCUUUGGAGUAGGAGAUGCUUAUAUUUUUCUAUUUCCACUCACUGGAAGGUUGCACACAAAUCAAUAUAAAGUUUACUUCAUACUGGUCUUUUAAAUGUGAUUGAUGCAAUUACAAAAUGAAAAUCCUGAUUUCAGUUUGAUUUUCAUUUUUCAAAUAUAGACUGCAUUCUAAGUUUAAAGGGUACAAAAGCUUAUUUUAAAGUGACUCUUCUGUGUCAUGUGGAUAUCUAAGCUCACUUUACUUAAUAAGAUGAUGCUGAAUAGUUUCAUUCUGUUCAAUCUGUUUCUAUUUUAGUAGUGUCAAUGCUCUAGAAUGGAUAACACUUGCACCAAAGAGUGCUCCAAGUUCCUAGUGAUAUUCUUGGAGCUCAAAAUGUCUCUGAACUUUAGACAUGAAAAGAUAGAUAACAAAUGCUUGGUGAAUCUUAUCUCUAAGAUUAACCAUGAACUACAAUUAAGAUAUUUACUCCAGUAGAUGUAUACCUCCAAUUAGGCAGGUCUGCUGAGUUAUUUGUUUGAAAUAUAAGUAAAUGUAAUGGGGAUUUUCAGAUUUCUCCACACUGUUUCUUCAUGAAAAUGUCACCUGGAUGAAACUUUAGAUCAAUGAUUAAAUGUGGGUGACAGAUGCAAAAUUAUUUAAUUUCACUUAAAUAUAUUAUCUUGGUGAAAUUGUCUUUUCUUUUUCAAAAUGAAAAAAAUAUGAGUGCCAUCAAAGUUUAAGGGAGACAUUUUAACCAUAGUUGUCUUCAUGAGAUAUCUUACUUGCUUUCAGGUAAUCAUUGCUCAUGACAUGGAUGAUGAUUUUUAACUUUCUUGACAUUGUAUCACUGGAGAUGACUGUUAUGGUUUUGUCAUCUUCCUAAUGAUACACAUACUCAGGUUCUUACGACAUUUUUCUAUCAACUCUGAAAGUCAUGUCUCUGCAAUCUAAUAUCAUGUUUACAAUUGCAAAUGAACUUACGACAAAGUAACUCAUUAAUAAUUUGAGUUAUUCUUUCGGGUGUUACAAUGAUUUUGCAAGGUCUAAGCUAGCCAGAACCUAUAUAGUCACGUGAUUUAUUUUCAAGGACUACGACCAACUAAGGUUGUUGAGACUCAAGGUAUGAUCAGUUUUACAAAAAUCCUUAGUAAUACAUUCAUUAUUAAUAAUGGAUUUUCACAGACUUUUGUGGAAGAAGUUGGUCUUGGCCAGGUAAUGGGAGACCCAAUAUACACCACAAAAGCCAACAUUACAAUAAACCAGAUUAAUAGCAUCCUUUUUUUUUUGUGGGGAGGGGGUGACCUGGAAGUGUGUAAUUUCAGGUCUGACCAGAUGGUACCAUCUUUCAAAGCCCCUUCAUAUACUGAUGUUCAUUUAUGAGUAGGACAGUAGAUAAUGUUUAUUGUUCAACUGUUCCUCUACCUGUUAUAAUUACUAGGAAAAGGAAUGGGAGAAAAUAUGAUAGCCAUCUUAUGUGUUAUAGAACAGAAUGGUUUAUCCAUUGAAUGGCUAUCUUUCAAUGACUAUAUAUUGAGCAGUUACUCUUUCUAUGCUAUGUUAGGCACUGAACUUCAUAAGAAAAAUACAAGGAUAAUUCUGUUCCUACUGCUAUCCUGACAUAGUAUGUGACCUUAAAAACCACCAAAUGGACUGUUUGUGUCUCUCUGUGUAAAAUAGGGAUAUCAAGAUACACAGCCUCAUAUAUCACAUCACCUCAUAUCUUACAGAGGUACUAUGAAGACUGAUACAAUAUCUUGAUAUGGAUAUAAUAUUUAAGUAAAUUUCUGAGUUGAUACUUUUGGAUAUGGAACUCAUUUUCUCUCUGAGAGGUUUUCUAUAUUACAUUGUCAUUUAUUUCACUCUCAUUGUGAAAACUGAUAUAUAUUAAAAUGUAGUGUACUUUGUUGAAAUUAGAAUUAAAAUGAACAAUUUAAAUGUAAACAGCAUAAUAAUUAUAAAGGUUUAUCUGAUUUAAGUUAUAAUAAUAGCACUUUAGAUAUGUCAUCUAAACUGUCAUCUGUAGGUUUCUAUCAAAUAAAAAAUACUUUUGAUCCUUUCAA